GGGGUANUNGGNCAAUGGGCGCAAGCCCUGAUCCAGCCAUGCCGCGUGUUGUGAAGAAGGCCUUCGGGUUGUAAAGCACUUUUGUUGGGGAAGAAACCGACCGGUUUAAUACUUCGGUUGAAUGACGGUACCCAAAGAAUAAGCACCGGCUAACUUCGUGCCAGCAGCCGCGGUAAUACGAAGGGUGCAAGCGUUACUCGGAAUUACUGGGCGUAAAGCGUGCGUAGGCGGUUAGUUAAGUCUGUCGUGAAAGCCCCGGGCUCAACCUGGGAAUGGCGAUGGAAACUGGCUAGCUAGAGUGUGUCAGAGGAUGGUGGAAUUCCCGGUGUAGCNGGUGAAAUGCGUAGAGAUCGGGAGGAACACCAGUGGCGAAGGCGGCCAUCUGGGACAACACUGACGCUGAGGCACGAAAGCGUGGGGAGCAAACAGGAUUAGAUACCCUGGUAGUCC
RNAcentral lists this ribosomal RNA (450 nucleotides) under uncultured bacterium. RNAcentral's name for it is "bacterial SSU rRNA". It matches the Rfam family "Bacterial small subunit ribosomal RNA", at positions 357 to 796 of the family's 1533-position model. The record is from RNAcentral.